UCGAACGUGGUGUAAUGGCUAGCAUUGCCGCCUCUCAUAAGGGUUUGUGCCGUCUCUUCUGCGGCAGCCCGGGGUUCGAUUUCCCGUGUCCGAA
Molecule: transfer RNA, 94 nt
Filed under: Armillaria gallica
Lineage: Eukaryota; Fungi; Basidiomycota; Agaricomycetes; Agaricales; Physalacriaceae
Description: tRNA-Glu
Source: RNAcentral